RNAcentral lists this ribosomal RNA (246 nucleotides) under uncultured bacterium. Its description in RNAcentral is "partial 16S ribosomal RNA". It matches the Rfam family "Bacterial small subunit ribosomal RNA", at positions 15 to 253 of the family's 1533-position model. The record is from RNAcentral.
GAUCAUGGCUCAGGAUGAACGCUAGCUACAGGCUUAACACAUGCAAGUCGAGGGGCAUCAGUUUGGUUUGCUUGCAAACCAAAGCUGGCGACCGGCGCACGGGUGAGUAACACGUAUCCAACCUGCCUCAUACUCGGGGAUAGCCUUUCGAAAGAAAGAUUAAUAUCCGAUAGCAUAUAUUUCCCGCAUUGGGUUUUAUAUUAAAGAAAUUCGGUAUGAGAGUGGGAUGUCCGUUACCUAUUUAGG